RNAcentral lists this ribosomal RNA (359 nucleotides) under Streptomyces sp. RNAcentral describes it as "bacterial SSU rRNA". It matches the Rfam family "Bacterial small subunit ribosomal RNA", at positions 379 to 750 of the family's 1533-position model. Lineage: Bacteria; Bacillati; Actinomycetota; Actinomycetes; Kitasatosporales; Streptomycetaceae. The record is from RNAcentral.
AAGCCUGAUGCAGCGACGCCGCGUGAGGGAUGACGGCCUUCGGGUUGUAAACCUCUUUCAGCAGGGAAGAAGCGCAAGUGACGGUACCUGCAGAAGAAGCACCGGCUAACUACGUGCCAGCAGCCGCGGUAAUACGUAGGGUGCGAGCGUUGUCCGGAAUUAUUGGGCGUAAAGAGCUCGUAGGCGGCUUGUCGCGUCGGAUGUGAAAGCCCGGGGCUUAACCCCGGGUCUGCAUUCGAUACGGGCAGGCUAGAGUUCGGUAGGGGAGAUCGGAAUUCCUGGUGUAGCGGUGAAAUGCGCAGAUAUCAGGAGGAACACCGGUGGCGAAGGCGGAUCUCUGGGCCGAUACUGACGCUGAG